RNAcentral lists this ribosomal RNA (588 nucleotides) under uncultured bacterium. RNAcentral's name for it is "bacterial SSU rRNA". It matches the Rfam family "Bacterial small subunit ribosomal RNA", at positions 338 to 916 of the family's 1533-position model. The record is from RNAcentral.
CCUACGGGAGGCAGCAGUGGGGAAUUUUGGACAAUGGGCGCAAGCCUGAUCCAGCCAUGCCGCGUGUGGGAAGAAGGCCUUCGGGUUGUAAACCACUUUUGUCAGGGAAGAAACGGCCUUUACUAAUAUUAGGGGCUAAUGACGGUACCUGAAGAAUAAGCACCGGCUAACUACGUGCCAGCAGCCGCGGUAAUACGUAGGGUGCAAGCGUUAAUCGGAAUUACUGGGCGUAAAGCGUGCGCAGGCGGCUUUGCAAGACAGAUGUGAAAUCCCCGGGCUCAACCUGGGAACUGCAUUUGUGACUGCAUGGCUAGAGUACGGUAGAGGGGGAUGGAAUUCCGCGUGUAGCAGUGAAAUGCGUAGAUAUGCGGAGGAACACCGAUGGCGAAGGCAAUCCCCUGGACCUGUACUGACGCUCAUGCACGAAAGCGUGGGGAGCAAACAGGAUUAGAUACCCUGGUAGUCCACGCCCUAAACGAUGUCAACUGGUUGUUGGACGGCUUGCUGUUCAGUAACGAAGCUAACGCGUGAAGUUGACCGCCUGGGGAAGUACGGCCGCAAGGUUGAAACUUCAAAUUGAAUUGACGG